UCGGGAAUUUUGGGCAAUGGGCGAAAGCCUGACCCAGCAAUGCCGCGUGUGUGAAGAAGGCCUGCGGGUUGUAAAGCACUUUUGGCAGGGAUGAAAAGCGCUGGAUUAAUAACCCAGUGUGUUGACCUAACCUGCAGAAGAAGCACCGGCUAACUCUGUGCCAGCAGCCGCGGUAAUACGUAGGGACCAAGCGUUGUUCGGAUUUACUGGGCGUAAAGGGCGCGUAGGCGGCAAUUCAAGUCAUCUGUGAAAUCUCCGGGCUUAACUCGGAACGGUCAGAUGAUACUGCUUUGCUAGAGUGCAGAAGGGGCAAUCGGAAUUCUUGGUGUAGCGGUGAAAUGCGUAGAUAUCAAGAGGAACACCUGAGGUGAAGACGGGUUGCUGGGCUGACACUGACGCUGAGGCGCGAAAGCCAGGGGAGCAAACGGGAUUAGAUACCCAUGUAGUCCCUGAGCGGGC
Molecule: ribosomal RNA, 459 nt
Filed under: uncultured bacterium
Lineage: Bacteria
Description: bacterial SSU rRNA
Rfam family: Bacterial small subunit ribosomal RNA
Source: RNAcentral